This 517-nucleotide long non-coding RNA is filed under the name Homo sapiens (human). Its description in RNAcentral is "non-protein coding lnc-HLX-2:7". Lineage: Eukaryota; Metazoa; Chordata; Mammalia; Primates; Hominidae. The record is from RNAcentral.
AUGACCUCAAACACUUGUGCUUGGCGAGUUUAUGUCUGGGUGCCUGGACACAUGCGGGAAUAAACACACACACACACACACACACACACACACAUUCGAUGUUACUGCAUUCCUUCAUCCAUUCAUUUUUUUCAUUGCAGUAUUUAUGGGGAUCCUUGUGAGUGUUUGCACCAUAGAGAAAAAAGUAUUUGACUAAGCAUUAACCAUUCCAGCUAAGAGAUCAGUGUUUGUCAUUCAAAAUAGCUGAGGUGGUUGGGAGAGGACAGCCAGUAUUCCCCAAAAGAGGUUUAUUAGUUUCCUAGGCUGCUGUCACAAAUUGACACAGACUUAGUGACUUAAAACAACAGAAAUGUGUUUGUGUCACUACAUUCUCUGCUUCUCUGGCACAUGGACUCUUCUUCUGCAUCCAGUUUUCCUCUGUCUUCCUCUCAUAAGCAUGCGUGUGGUAGCAUUUAGCGUCCACCCAGGCAAUCUAGAUUAAUCUCUCACCUCAAGCUCCUUAACUGAAUCACAUCUG